UUUAGGAGGGCGCGGCCGAAGGUAGGGUCAGCGAUUGGGGUGAAGUCGUAACAAGGUAGCCGUAGGAGAACCUGCGGCUGGAUCACCUCCUUU
RNAcentral lists this ribosomal RNA (93 nucleotides) under Clostridium paridis. RNAcentral describes it as "Bacterial small subunit ribosomal RNA". It matches the Rfam family "Bacterial small subunit ribosomal RNA", at positions 1441 to 1533 of the family's 1533-position model. The record is from Rfam by way of RNAcentral. Lineage: Bacteria; Bacillati; Bacillota; Clostridia; Eubacteriales; Clostridiaceae.